This 857-nucleotide long non-coding RNA is filed under the name Trifolium pratense (red clover). Its description in RNAcentral is "long non-coding RNA (TPRA_LNC006942)". The record is from RNAcentral. Lineage: Eukaryota; Viridiplantae; Streptophyta; Magnoliopsida; Fabales; Fabaceae.
UAUCAUAUUAUGAAAGUUUUUUCAAAAAAAUAAAAUCAAGAAAGUUUUUCUUUUUUCAAUCAAUAUCAUGAAAGUUAUUUAAAUUUUUUUUUUUUAAAAAAGUUAUUGCAACAAAGUAAUUCCGUAUAUAUAACGCAUUGAUUUUAGUAUAAAGGCACCACUCCCAUUACCACAAACUCUUCAUUCCAAAACCACUCAAUUGAGAAUACAUUAUUAUUCCUUUUCUCCAUCUCACUUUCUUUCAAACACACAACCAUGUCUUCUGAGGUACUUAACAUUUUUAUAUGUUCUUGUUGUUGCUCUUGUAUUUUAAUUUCUUGUGCUUGAUCAUUUGAUUCUUGGUCUUUGUUGGAUUCCAGUUUCUUAAAGUUUUUCAUUGAUUUGGUUCCUUGUUUAGAUCUUUUGUGUUUUGUUUUAUGAUUCUGAAAGAAAAAAAAAUGGUUGUAAUGAAAAUAGAGAAGAUUCAAUAAUAUGUUCAAAAGAGUUGAAAAUUAUUGUUGCAUGUAGUUUUCAUCAACUCAACCAUCGGUUAGUUUAUCGAAGAAAUUCCUUGAACGAUACAUAGUUCAUUAUUAUUACAUGUAAAUAAAUUACUAGUAAAACUUCAAAUCUAAUAGUAAUGAAGAAAUCAAGAAUGUUUCUUCCUUGUGUGUUACAAACUCUAUCGCAGGGAUGCUUCUUAUCAAAUACGUGUCCAGUAUCCCACAUGUGUUCGUGUACUACACCAACACAUGUGAUUACAUUUAAUUACUUUAUUUUCUCCAAUUAUUAAUGGUGUUGAUGAGUGUCUAGUGUUUGAUGUGUCGACGGCGCUUCAAUGAAUUCAUUCUCUUUAGAUAAUGUUAAGGGUCCACCUG